This is a long non-coding RNA of Camelina sativa (false flax), 618 nucleotides long. RefSeq lists it as uncharacterized. NCBI's taxonomy places the organism in Eukaryota, Viridiplantae, Streptophyta, Magnoliopsida, Brassicales, Brassicaceae. The record is from RefSeq and is a predicted model, not a curated record.
UUUCAUUAAUUAAAAAAAUAAGAAGCCACGUUUACUUAAAAUAAAUCUAAAUGCUCUUCUUCUUCGUUGCUUUACCUUGCAGCGCCGCUGAAACUCAGAUCUCUUCCUCUUCGAUUUAGCUCCGAUCUCUUCCUCUACAAUCUAGUUCUGAUCUCUUCCUCCUCGACUCGCCAUGCGUCUCCCCAGUCGACAGGCUGACCACCAUCUCGCUUAACCCUAUGAUUCUGAUCUAACAGGUCAUACAGAUUGGAAGCGUUAAACUCAAACCACUCAACCACUCUUCUUUCUCCGCCUCUGUUUUCUCUCCGUCUCUCCCAUUCACAAGCUUUAGACAGCGAAAGAUUCUCACCGCCGUUUGUUUCGUCGUUCAAGAACAUAAACAGAUCCGAUGCCACGAGACCACCGAGGAUCCUUGGAGCGGGGAUCGUCGGCAAACAGCAUUUGGUUGCGGCGGCUGAGGGCUCACUAGGGUGAUUAGGGUUUUUUUGGUUGAUUUUAGCAUCCGGUAUAACCGUGAUUUAGUGGUCGGUUCAAUUCUGUAAAAAUUAUUCAAUUCCCAGUUUGGAUGGUUUGUUAAUAUUAAUAUAUAUAUAUUAAUUUAAAGAAAAAUUGUCACGA